AGUUUCUAAGCCGUUUUUUUCACUUUCGUCAAAAGCUUCAAAUAUGUAAAUAGUUUUGGCCAAAUCACUUCUCUUUGCAAAGUCCAAAAUGUGUUGAGUGUAUACCCUAGCAUUUUCGAUAGUUGUACCUGGUCCUCCAUUUGAUGGCCACCCUGUUUCUCCAACAAUGAUAGGCACUAAGUUUGCUCCAAUCUUGUUAAGUGCAACACGACAUCCAGAUAGCAUUGCUUCAAAGAGCGAAUUUUCUUUUCCGAGCGCAAAGUUUAGAGAAAUUUUGUUGUCGCCAAUAUAAGCAAAAUAGGUGUAGAUAUUUAUGCUGAAUACUGAUCCAGUGUUUUUCAUUAUAGCAGUUACUUCUUUCAUUGUUUCAAUUAUAUCUGGAUGAAAUACUGUGCUGUCAAUAGGAUAAGUGUUGGUUAAAACAACAGCACUAAAUGGGAUUGUCACCUAAAUUAUUUGAAUAAAAACAGUUAACUAUAAGAUUUUAGUGAACAAUAUUAAAUAACUUGCAAAACCUUUUGUUGUAUCAACCAUCAGUUUUAUACAUUAAAAAGUUUGUUUUAUUAUUUA
This is a non-coding RNA of Hydra vulgaris (swiftwater hydra), 570 nucleotides long. Lineage: Eukaryota; Metazoa; Cnidaria; Hydrozoa; Anthoathecata; Hydridae. The record is from RefSeq and is a predicted model, not a curated record.